Molecule: long non-coding RNA, 5224 nt
Organism: Phyllostomus discolor (pale spear-nosed bat)
Lineage: Eukaryota; Metazoa; Chordata; Mammalia; Chiroptera; Phyllostomidae
Exons: 3
Source: RefSeq, a predicted model, not a curated record
UUAGUUUCUUCUGAGGCCUCUCUUGUCAGCUUGCAGACAGCUGUUGUCUUGCUGUGCCUUCACAGGGUCUUUCUUCUCUGUGUGUGCGUCCCUAGAGUUUCUGUGUGUGUCCAGAUCUCCUUUUAGAAGGACACCUGUUAACUUAACCUAGUUGUAACCCAAUUAACUUUUUAAAGGUCCUGUCUCCAGAUACUGUCACAUUCUGAGAUAUGUAGAGGUUAGGCCUUUGAUAUAAAUUUGGGGGAAGUUAAACACAAUUCAGUUCAUACCAACACCAUAAAGACAAUGAAGGCACAGAAAAUAAACUUUGUGCUCUAAAGUACUAAUGCGAUAUAAUCUAAUAAAUUAAGAAUUUUAUUUUUUUAAAACUAAGCAAUACAUAAUGGUCUUUUCUAUUCAGAUAUAUGGUAUAUUUAUUCAACACAAAAAUGCUACAGACUCUAUUCUAGAUGAUGGAGAUACAGAAUUGGCAAAAAAGACAGUCUUUGCUUUCGUGGUGUUUAAAACAAUAAAUAAAUAAUACAUCAGGUAGUGAUAAUUGCCCCUUUCAGUUGGCCUUUGCUGCAUACCACCACCUCCAAAACUGAAUGACUUAAAACAAUCGUCAUUUUAUUUGCUCGUGAUUCUGUGAGUCAGCAGUUUGAAUGAGGACCAGGCUCUGCAUGGUGAUCUUCUACUAGUCUCUCCUAGACCCCUUGGCAGCUGCAGUUACCUGUCAGUUCACUGGGAGCUGCAUGUGUAAGGGCUGGCAAACUUUUAUUUUAGGAAGAGGAGGAGGGUGAAAGAAAAAAAGGGAGAGAAAUAUCAAUGCAAGAGGAAAACAUCGAUUGGCUGCCUGUCAUACAUGCCCCUCCUGUAGACUGAAUCUGCAACCUAGGCAUGUGCCUUAACUGGGAAUUGAACUAGUGACCUUUCAGUUUGUGGGAUGAACCACAUUGGUCAGUCAAGGCAGACUGGAAAACUUUAUAAAGCUCCCUGUCAUUUUUGUCUUACCUCAGUUUUCUUUCUCCUCCUAUCAUUCUUCAUUAAGGAACAUUAAAAAGGUUUUAGAUAUUUUGGCAAAUUCCAUUUUGAUGGGUUGAGAUAGAGCUAUAAUGCUGAUCUUUUUUAAUGUCUUCAUUUUACAAAAAAGUCUACUACUGUUAACUGCAGUGUGUUACCACAUGUCCUGCUUUAUAGCUAGAAGUUAGGAUUUUUCAUCCAUUUGUUUGGAUAGGAUGAUAAUAGCAAAGUGAGAAAUAAGUCAUAAAUUGCUUUGGUUUUAGAUGCUGAAAUGUCUCAAUUCAUGUAUGGCAACACCAGACCUGCUUUUCUUAGCUCCACAGGAAAUGAGAGUGGGGCUGAGGCCGGAGGAAGCCGUGCAUGCCCAGCUUUAAGUUUGCAAGCUUCUCAUUGGUUGUUUAGGAGAGUAAUUGAAGUUUAUUUCUUUCCCAGAAAUGUCGAUUAUGAAGGGGAAAUGAGAUCUAUUGAUAGGCAAACUAACCAGAUUGUACCUGUCAUUUAUGUGUCAUUAGAUGAAGUUUGAAGGUGAAUUUCAGUUCUUAGGCAGAAUAAAGCAACCUAAAGCUCUCACAUGAUAGAUAAAUCUCUUUAUGUGUAGGGGAAAGAACAGACUCUUGAAUUAAUGAGCUAUUUAAAAAUUCAUGGGCUUCUCUCAUUAACAAGAAAAUUGGUAUGGGCUCCAUUACUCGGUGAUUUUCAAUUUCAGUGGAUUGGCACCUAGGGGUCUUCUGUACACCACGUAUACUGUAGAAGCCAUUUGUUUUGAGUUGAGGGUAUUCCACAGUGAUUUUGGUAGGUUUAGAAGAGAAUCAAGAUGUGCUUAGCUCAGUGAGGAUGAAUUAAUCUUUGUUAUGUGAUUACAUAAAUUGAUGGAAAUGGAGGGUUGAAGAUAAAAGAAAAAAAUGCUGACACUACCACUGCAUAGAUUUGUGGUAGUUUUGGAACCAACAUGCUUUAUUUGAAUUAGUAAAGAGAAGGGACACAUUGUCCAAGUGUUAAAAAAAUAAUAGCUAUCUUGUACUGACUCUGUGAGAUAGCUCUUCAUUUUUAUUCUUAUUUUACAUGUGCGUAGAGAGGUUAAGUAAUUUGCCUAUAGUCACAUAGCUAGUAAGUAGUGGAGAAAACAGAUUUUAAGGCCUUUCAGUUUUGACUUCUCAGUUUAGUACUUAACCAUUUGCCCAUACUGUUUCCUAGGGUAUGGACAGGUUAAGUUGAUAGGCAAGAUAUGACUAGGCCUAGAGAAGGCAGGAGGGUUUGGGGCUCUGGGUAACAAUGGGAAGAGGGAAGUAGUGGGGUUGAGAGGUAAAGGAAGACAGAAGUCAGUUGCCAGCCCUUAAACUUUUCUUCUCCCCAAUUUUUCUGUACCUUGUUUGGUGCUUCUAAAACUUUAAUCUGCAGUUGAAUCAGCUCUGGGGACCUUGUCAAAAUGCAGAUUCUGACUCAGCAGAUCUGAGAUGCGGCUUUUCUAUAUCUCUAAUCAGGUCCCAACUGCUGCUAACUACAGCAGUUUCACACAUUGAAUACUAAAGAACCUAGGUGGGCAAAGAGGUUUAGGACAGGAAGUGGUGGUUAGCAACUUAUUUAGACAUUUCAUUGGAACACAGUUGUUAGGAUGGCUUAUUCUGGUGAAGAUUAUGUCUUUGUGGUGUCAAAUGUGUAUCUAUACAUUCAAAGUUGAUGAUUUUGUGAAUAAACUAUAACUUUCCUUUGGUAUCCUCUGAGAAUUGAGGAAUGUUUAUGCAGGGAUGAUUGUUAGAUCAUGCAACCCGACCCAUUAGGUUAUGGUGAGUACUGAGGGACUCUGGCCUGGGCAGGAGUAAGGUCACAGCACCAUUAGUGCUUUUUCCUUUCUGUCUGGACUGAAGGCAGGCCAGUGAAGUGCUACCCUCUCACCCUCUUUGGUGAUUCAGUGACGCAACAAAAGUCAGAAAAAGAAACUGAUUAUGAUUCUCCUAUUCCAUUUCAGUUUGUAGUGCAUUUCUGGGCACAAAGGUGUUUCAGAGUGUGAAUGAAUAAAGGUUUCUGGGUGAGGCAGUCACAGUGAGUCUGAGGCCUGAGCCAUGUGGGUGAGUUUAUAGUGAAAAUAGAUGACAUCAUUGUGGUGCUGCAGACCAAACAGUGGCAGGUUUUUCACACCGUUCAGAGUGAAAGAAAAACUGGGCAGGUAUAAAUAUAAUCAAGUGGAUAACUUGGGAAAGACUUGGAGACAUGCCCUUUUAGUUCUUGAUUACACGCUGUCUCUAGGAAAACAGGCAAUAGAAAGUGUCAUUGUUGAAACAGAAAAGUCAAAAGCCUGAUUGUGAGAAUAAGGAAGUUCCAAAAAGGAGACCAAUGGAUGUAUGUAGGAAGAGCUUGAAAAUUUAAAGUACUGUUGAGAAAGAAGCAAGGAAGAAAAUCUGUCUGGGUAGAGAUAUAAAUGUCACAGUUAUACUUUAACUGUAUGUCUUUUGGUGGGGAUAGGGGAUAAGAUCUGUGGUUUUUAUGUUGAAGUCCUGGAGUUGUACAGUGAUAGUUUGGGGAAGAAUUCAGAGAGCCUCUAGUUUAUCCUCCCUCAUUUUGCCUAGAAGAACCUUCAAGGACCCAGAGAAGUAGAAGGUCCGAAUGGCUUAAGAUAUUUACCAGCUAUAUAGUAGAGUGGUAAAUAUCUUAAAUACCAAUUUUUUGGAAUAUAAUAUGCACCUUCCCGACCCCCCCCCCCCAAUUUGGGAGGAAUAAUGGUUGUUAGUGCUGCUGUUUGAGUUCUGUUUACAUUUAAAUUAGUAAAAUAUUAUUUAUGCUAUUAAAUAUUUUACCACACUUUUUGCUUCAAAGUUUUUUUCCUAUUUUCCUCCUCUAAAACCUAGAUGUGUCUUAUGGUCCGAAAAAUAUGGUAGUAGAUAUGUAGGCCAAAUGGACUUUUACAUUUUGCCUAAACUGACUUGUUGACCUGGCUUUCUCUCAUCUUACUCAUUUAAAAAGAGGUACACUUUUACUGAGUGCUUAUUAUGUUCAGGCACUGUAAUAAAUAUACUUCUUUUUAUCGUUUUCCUUUGAUUUUUAGAUUAUAUUGUCUGAAUGUUCACAUAUUUAAGCUAAACUUUUGUAACUGUUUUCUUAAUAUGGAAUAAUAACUAGAUUUGCCUCUCAAGUUUUAAUUUGGAAAGCAAGUGGAAUUAUUGCUGUAUUUCUGGUUUUGGCAGACUUGUUAUCAUAUUUUAUAGUUUAUUGCAUCAGGCUGGUCUUAAGAGAAUAACAUUUUUAAUACUUGAGUUUUCUCUGCAUCACAUUAAUAAAAACCACAUUUAAAACUUGUCCUUUAAAAACUCUGCUCUAGCUAUUGCCUUUAGCACUGUGCCAUAGGUGCUUUACUGGCAUGAAUUCAGAUCUCUGUUGUCUAAAUAGUGCAGAAAUCACAUUCCCAUUUUAUAAAUAGGCUUUAGAAAUUUAAUUUCCAUUGUAGAAUGUGUCAGUAGGCUCUGAGGUUAAUUGAAGAAUAAAACCCAGAAAUUGUGAACUCUUCAUGGGAGACAUUUGAUAUAAAGGUAAUCCCCAAAAGCAGCCUUGAGAAUCCCAAAUCCACUCGUAAUGACUUUGGAGACAUGCCUUGUUUUCCUCUAGACUAGUGUAAAAAGCCAUUUCCAGAGAGGAGGUUGCCUAGACUUUGUGAACUUAGAGGGACAGCUGAUUGGACCCAGAAGAAAAGGCCCAGGAGAUAGUCUGCAUGUGGGAUAUUUUGAGUAGUGUGUUAAGAAUAGGGGUGGUGUAUUGCUUUUUGUGUGUGUGUGUGUGUGUGUGUGUGUUGUUGAGGUUCAUAUAGAAUACAAGAGUUUUCAGAGAGCUGGGGUAAACCUUUUCCCAGCCAAUGCCUAGCAGACAGAGCCCCUUUCUUGUCUGCUCCUCUUCCUUCAAAAACCAGUAAGUCAUCAAGACAAUAGAUCCGCCUCCAUUGAUAGCAACUUCUCUACCAUGUUUCAUUCUCUAAUUCCUGCUGCACUGGGUAACUCAAGAUCCUCAUUGAGACCUUCUUGUAGCCUGGAAGCUCCUGACCACAGUUUACAGCAAGAGGGAGAGAGAGAAGUCAUAGGGAGAUGUACUUACCUUUUGUGCUCCUUGGAUCACGUUGAAAAGCUUUUAAAUUUCACCCUAAACUGGUGAGUCCUGGCCUUGCUUGCACAGCGCAGUCAGCUGGGGAGCUUAAAAAAAGUUGGUAACUGUGCCACCUGAGCCCCCAGGGACUCACACU